AGAAUCCUCCACCCUCCCUUCUUCCUUUUGCUUCCUUGAGAUUUAUCUGACUGCUUUACUCAAAUGAUGAAAUAUUUAUUGAACAGGUUAUUUGGGAAAGAGGGAAAUAGGAGGCCCCUAACUCGUGGUGGUUGAACCCUCUGUGAAUGUUUCUCUCAGCCAUUGCUUAGCUGAGCUGGUCUGACCCUCCCUAUCUGUUCUGAUCUUAAAGGCUACCCUAGGCUAAUCAAAUACAUGUUUUAGUCUCUAGAAUGGCUGGAACAGAUGGAGAAGGUUCUUUGGUUAAGCCUAGUUUCUCUUCCAGAGAUCCCUUUGAGAUAACUGGCUGAUAAUCCAAUUCUCUGUUUUCCUCAGGUACAAGAUGACAGGUUGAUCAGGAAAUGGCUUCUUUCAUUAGUUGAGGACCAUGGCUGAAAGGAUCUCUUGUCUCUUUCAGAGUCUAGCAGACUACACUCCCCCAACCUGUACCCUGCAGAGCCACUCAUUGGGGACCGGUGAAAGUAGCCAUGGAGCUACCUUAUAAAAGAAAG
RNAcentral lists this long non-coding RNA (530 nucleotides) under Monodelphis domestica (gray short-tailed opossum). RNAcentral describes it as "lncRNA (ENSMODG00000039916.1)". Lineage: Eukaryota; Metazoa; Chordata; Mammalia; Didelphimorphia; Didelphidae. The record is from RNAcentral.